RNAcentral lists this long non-coding RNA (2643 nucleotides) under Marmota monax (woodchuck). Lineage: Eukaryota; Metazoa; Chordata; Mammalia; Rodentia; Sciuridae. The record is from RNAcentral.
AGCAAGUUGUUUCACUGUGCUUGGCUGCCCAGGCACUCAGAGGCUGCUGCAGCCAUGGUCCCUGGAGGUGUGGCUACUGCUUAAGAUGGAGGCAGACGCUAGUGUCAUCCAUGUGAUGCUGGUUUUGCAGAAAUGCAGGAUGCUGGAGGUAGGGGGUCAGGGACGAUUCCACUGAGAUUUCAAAGAAAGGCCUCAGAGGCAUAAGCAGCCUCUAUUGACGUCUUGCUCCUGCAUCAAGGCCACUGUGAGCCAUCAACUCUGCUCAGCUCCAUGUGGUCCUCACAGCAGGACCUAGCUCACCAGAGGCCACAUCUGCAGACUAGUAACAAAUGCACCCCACAUACACACACUACAAGCUGACAGGUGCUAUGCAGAGCACCUCCCAGGGUCUUGCAGGAAGGCCUCUGCUGGGCUCAGCCAUGAUGGGCAGGCACACAGCCAGGAAGUCCCUGCUUCCUAGGAAGGUCAAAUGGGAACAAAGGCUGCAGGCGAGUCACCCAUGAGCAGGGGCCAGUUUCCAAAAUGAAGCCCCAGGAAGGAAAUUCAGCAGGCUAAGGACUGCUCUGUACCCCGAUGAGACCUCAGGAACACAAAGUCCCAGGGCCUGAGGAGUUGAACAGGCUCACCCGGAGGCCUGGCGGGGGAAACAGCAACAAGCUCAGAGCUUCUCAGCGGAUGCAGGAAGCAGCUUGACAGGUCCCGCCUCUUCUGAAAAUGCUGCACAGCCCGGAAGAGCAGGACCUGCUCCUGAACCAGGGGUCCACACUGAAAAGCCAACGCCUGGCCUAACUGGCAGAAGGCUUGGGUGAGCAGCUGGGGGAGGGGGGGCAGUGUGUGCAUGUGUGCACGCCCACGGCCAUCCCAGGGAGGGCUGGUGGCACACACCUGGCAGUGUCCAGCUUAACUAUUUGGUGGCUGUGCUUUUUGGCAGGUGUUUCUCCAAAGACUCUGGAAAAUCCUGAGUGACUUCUCCAAGAUCAAGGCCUGAUGCAGCGAGGUGGGACCCAGCCAAGGGAAAGAGGGGAGUAACGGGGGAAGGGCUGCCCAGCCCGGUGCGGUCAGCCUGUGGGGAGCAGGGCCCCAGGGCGGGGAGCCCUGCGGAUAGUCCACCAUCUCUGCGAGCUGUGCUCCAGGUGCCCACCCCGGCUGGCUGUUUUCCCAUGCCAAGGCUCUGGACACGGCAAAUCUCGUCACAUAGUAGUGACACUGACAGUAAUAAGUGGCACGUCAGAGAUGGACGAGGUGACCUACCUGUGGGUGCUGAGGAGGCAAGCCCCUCCCCAGACAUCCUGACCGGGACAGGCGAGUCAUCCAGACUGCCUGCCUGCUGCCCAGGCCUCCUACAUACUCCACCCUGAGUUUAACCCCAGCCUGCGUCAAGGGCCAAGUUGCUACAAGUAAACCUUCAGCUCUGCAGAGACCCCCAUCCAGGCCCAGAUGUGCGGGGUCCCAGGAGGGGGCAGUGAAGAGUGGGCAGGACCGCCGGCAGCCCUGAAAGGCCUCUGCCUCCAGGAUCUCAGGAGGCUCUUGAGAGGAGACACAGUGAUCCAUGCAGCCAGGAGGGGUGGACAGGUCUGCAGUGGGGCAGGGGAAUGGUCUCUGUAGGGGCCCAGAGGUGGCAAAGCAGACAGGAGUUCCCAGGAGCUGGAGGGAGCCCAGUGAGACUGCUGCUGAUGAGCCACGUGCUCAGGGCCAGGUACUGGAGGCUGGGGUGGGCAGAGGCCCUGAGCCAAGCCACGGGUGGAUGGGGCCUUCUGGAAAGCUGCAGGCCACCUGAAGGCGUAGGCUGGCCAGUGGGCUGCACCCAGGCCCCCAAUUCCACCCAGAACCGCCUGAGCAGGCCAGCCUUUUACCUGUCCUGGAGGGCCAUCCCUGCUCCCCUCCUGGGGAUGGCUGAGUGCCUCCAGGCUCUUGUGGAAGGCAGCCAAGGCCACAGGUAUUCAGAUCUCAGCUUUCGAGAGCUUCAGAGUCCCAGACCCCGCAGAUGAGAAGCCCCGAGCUGCUCUCACAACCUGAGGGGUCUCACACUGGACCCCGCCCCCAGGCAAGGGAGUGGUGGGCUGUGUCAUGUGGUCACUGCCCAGCCCUGCCAUCUGGCAGGACUGGGUGCCUCUGUACUCAGCACCCGCCCAUCCGACAGAGGUCCUUGACUCCUCGCUGAGCCCUGGCGAGCAGGAACAUGGCCGGGCACCAUCUGAGGCUGAACACUGGGGAUUCAGGUGCCAAGCCACCCUCCGAGUACAGGACAGAUAGGCCCUGGAGCUCGAUCCUGUCCCCACACAGGUGGCAAACCAGCAACCAGGGGCCCUCACAGUGGCCUCAGUAUGGCCGCCCAACCUUACCCCCUAAACCCCGGGAGGACAGAGGGUGAGGGCCCCUGGCUGUGUCAGGGCCAGCAUGCAGCCACAUCACAGCUGGAGCCCAGGCCCCUGAGCCCAGGCCCUCAGGCUCACGGCCCUGGGGCAGCCUCUCCCCAGAGCCUGGCUUCCAGCCAAGCUCCCACCCCCUCCAGGACAGAUCAAUGGCUGGACCUAGCCUGUGCCCACAGAGGGUGUGGCACUCCAGGUUGGUCUAGUGCUGAGAGGAGGGGCCGGAGCCCCAUGCGUAGGUGGGGAGCCCAGUUGACCCGAGAGGGAGGUCAGG